UGGUUCUGGCAUCGAUGAAGAACGCAGCAAAAUGCGAUAAGUAAUGCGAAUUGCAGAGCAGUGAGUCAUCGAAUCUUUGAACGCACAUUGCGCCCUUUGGUAUUCCGAAGGGCACGUCUAUUCGAGCGUCAUUAUCAACCCUCAAGCCUGGCUUGGAAUUGGAUCUCGUCGUCAGAAAUGGAUCCCAAAGAUAAUGGCAGAGUCUGUUGGACCUUGGAUGCAAUGAGCUUUGAUUAGCACGCAUUAAAGGAACAACAGGCCCGGUCUUUAACCACUUUUUCUAUGGUUGACCUCGGAUUAGAUGGGAAUACCCGCUGA
RNAcentral lists this unclassified non-coding RNA (318 nucleotides) under uncultured fungus. RNAcentral's name for it is "partial contains 5.8S ribosomal RNA and internal transcribed spacer 2". The stretch from base 1 to 131 matches the Rfam family "5.8S ribosomal RNA", at positions 22 to 154 of the family's 154-position model. The record is from RNAcentral. Lineage: Eukaryota; Fungi.